CAACGGAUCUCUUGGUUCCGGCAUCGAUGAAGAACGCAGCGGAAAUGCGAUAACUAAUGUGAAUUGCAGAAUUCAGUGAAUCAUCGAGUCUUUGAACGCACAUUGCGCCCCCUGGUAUUCCGGGGGGCAUGCCUGUCCGAGCGUCAUUGCUGCCCUCA
RNAcentral lists this ribosomal RNA (158 nucleotides) under Aspergillus restrictus. RNAcentral describes it as "5.8S rRNA". It matches the Rfam family "5.8S ribosomal RNA". From Rfam's summary of the family: 5.8S ribosomal RNA (5.8S rRNA) is a component of the large subunit of the eukaryotic ribosome. Lineage: Eukaryota; Fungi; Ascomycota; Eurotiomycetes; Eurotiales; Aspergillaceae. The record is from RNAcentral.